Gorilla gorilla gorilla (western lowland gorilla) is the source of this 1360-nucleotide long non-coding RNA. RefSeq lists it as uncharacterized. The transcript has 2 exons. NCBI's taxonomy places the organism in Eukaryota, Metazoa, Chordata, Mammalia, Primates, Hominidae. The record is from RefSeq and is a predicted model, not a curated record.
GUGAGCUGAGAUCACGCCAUUGCAUUCGAGCCUGGGUGACAGAGUGAGAGUCUGUCAGAAAAAAAAAAAAAAAAAAAAUUCUAUCAGAAAUUCCAUGUAGAAUUGUUUCUUUUUUUAAACACAGAGUUUGAACAACUGACUCUUCAUGGACACAACCUUCCUUCUCUUGUCUGUGUGAUAACAGUCAAAGGGCCUCUGAGGGAGUAUUACAGCCGCCUCAUCCACCAGAAGCAUUUCCAGCACAUCCAGGUCUGCAUCCCCUGGCUGGAGGGCCGAGGACUACCCCCGCUUCUAGGUGAGAGGCCAGCAGGAGGCUCAGGGAGGAGGCAGGGCCUUAAGCAGGGGGAACAGGUGUGGGCAUGAUGUACUUUUUCUGAAAAGGUGGCUCUGGAGGCCACUUGGGGACAGGACUUGGGCUCUGGCUUAACUCCUGGGAGGAGGCUACUUCCUGGUGUGCCAGCCCCUCCCUGCCAGGUGGCCCCAGAGGCCCUUUACCAAGGGGUUUGAGGAGGCCACGUCCUUUCAGCCUGCCACACCCUCCAUUCAGUCCUCUUCCUUCCUGCAGGAGGGCUGGGCCUGGGGUUGGGGCCACUGUUGCCCAGGUGUGGGAGGGCAGUGGCUUUGGGAGGUGGUCGGGGGUCGCUUGGCCUCUGUGUGUCCUACUGUCUUUGUCAGUGAGAUGGGACAGUGACAGCACACCCUCACAGGUGCUGGGGGCUGACAAAUGUCAGGUCUGAGGACAGUGGCUGGCCCACUACGGGGCCAGUUCCCCUUCUUUACAGUCACCCUGCUCGUCUUCCAUCGACUGGGUGCUCAGGACAGUGGUGUGGUGGAUCCGCCUGUACAGCCUGUGCUCCAGCGUCCUGCAGGCCACAGCUGUGUCCAGCCCUGACCCCAACUGCCCCUCCUGCCACCUCCAUUUUAUAGAUGAGGAAACCGAGGCCCAAGGGCUUAGGGAACCCUGCUCUGAAGCACAUAGUAGGGCUGCUGGGCUCAGACCCUCCCUCCCUGUGCUGAGCUACCCUCCUCCUGCCGCAAGCCCCCCACGCCCCAAGCCCACCCUGCUCACCGGCCUCUGCCCGAGUUCCCCUCAUGGUGUGGGAGUGUGGGGCAUCCUAGCUUUUCCCUGGUGCCCAGUUCUUUCACUUCCACUGGAGUCCUGCAGGGACAGCUCAGGGACAUGCAGGCCCGGGUGAGCGUGGGGGCUCACCUAGCUCGGUGGUGAACAGCUGGCACGUCUCUCGGUUGCGGACAGCGAAGGCCACAUAGACCUCAGGAGCCCGCUGGUGCUCCCGGCAGGCAGCCAGCCUCUGCAGGACCCCGACCAGCGACACAGUGGCUUCUGGGCAAUACAGCACGU